RNAcentral lists this ribosomal RNA (375 nucleotides) under Aeromonas veronii. Its description in RNAcentral is "bacterial SSU rRNA". It matches the Rfam family "Bacterial small subunit ribosomal RNA", at positions 139 to 509 of the family's 1533-position model. The record is from RNAcentral. Lineage: Bacteria; Pseudomonadati; Pseudomonadota; Gammaproteobacteria; Aeromonadales; Aeromonadaceae.
GGGGAUAACUACUGGAAACGGUAGCUAAUACCGCAUACGCCCUACGGGGGAAAGCAGGGGACCUUCGGGCCUUGCGCGAUUGGAUGAACCCAGGUGGGAUUAGCUAGUUGGUGAGGUAAUGGCUCACCAAGGCGACGAUCCCUAGCUGGUCUGAGAGGAUGAUCAGCCACACUGGAACUGAGACACGGUCCAGACUCCUACGGGAGGCAGCAGUGGGGAAUAUUGCACAAUGGGGGAAACCCUGAUGCAGCCAUGCCGCGUGUGUGAAGAAGGCCUUCGGGUUGUAAAGCACUUUCAGCGAGGAGGAAAGGUUGGUAGCUAAUAACUGCCAGCUGUGACGUUACUCGCAGAAGAAGCACCGGCUAACUCCGUGCC